RNAcentral lists this ribosomal RNA (503 nucleotides) under uncultured bacterium. RNAcentral's name for it is "partial 16S ribosomal RNA". It matches the Rfam family "Bacterial small subunit ribosomal RNA", at positions 28 to 507 of the family's 1533-position model. The record is from RNAcentral.
GACGAACGCUGGCGGCGUGCUUAACACAUGCAAGUCGAACGGUGAAGCGCUUUCCUUUUUGGUUGGUGUGGAGGCGAGGCGAACGGGUGAGUAACACGUGCGUAACCUGCCCCCUUCUUCUGGAUAACCGCAUGAAAGUGUGGCUAAUACGGGAUAUUCUGCGCCUGCUGCAUGGUGGGUGUGGGAAAGCUUGUGCCUUUGGGUGUUCUCGGUGGGGGAUGGGCUCGCGGCCUAUCAGCUUGUUGGUGGGGUGCUGGCCUACCAAGGCGGGGGCGGGUAGCCGGUCUGAGAGUAGGGACGGUCACACUGGGACUGGGACACGGGGGAGACUGCUACGGGAGAGAGCAGUAGGGAAGAGAGCACAAUGGGCGCAAGCCUGAUGCAGCGACGCCUCAUGAGGGAUGGAGGCCUGCGGGUUGUGGACCUCUUUCGCCAGUGAAGCAUGCCUGCGCCUUGUGGGUGGGUUGACGGUAGCUGGAAAAGAAGCACCGGCUAACUACGUG